This 468-nucleotide ribosomal RNA is filed under the name uncultured bacterium. RNAcentral describes it as "partial 16S ribosomal RNA". It matches the Rfam family "Bacterial small subunit ribosomal RNA", at positions 28 to 507 of the family's 1533-position model. The record is from RNAcentral.
GACGAACGCUGGCGGCGUGCUUAACACAUGCAAGUCGAACGGAAAGGCCCUGCUUUUGUGGGGUGCUCGAGUGGCGAACGGGUGAGUAACACGUGAGUAACCUGCCCUUGACUUUGGGAUAACUUCAGGAAACUGGGGCUAAUACCGGAUAGGAGCUCCUGCUGCAUGGUGGGGGUUGGAAAGUUUCGGCGGUUGGGGAUGGACUCGCGGCUUAUCAGCUUGUUGGUGGGGUAGUGGCUUACCAAGGCUUUGACGGGUAGCCGGCCUGAGAGGGUGACCGGCCACAUUGGGACUGAGCUACGGCCCAGACUCCUACGGGAGGCAGCAGUGUGGAAUAUUGCACAAUGGGCGGAAGCCUGAUGCAGCAACGCCGCGUGCGGGAUGACGGCCUUCGGUUUGUAAACCGCUUUCGCCUGUGACGAAGCGUGAGUGACGGUAAUGGGUAAAGAAGCACCGGCUAACUACGUG